AGAGCAUUUGGUGGAUGCCUUGGCGCUAGAAGGCGAUGAAGGACGUAAUACACUGCGAUAAGCUCCGGGGAGCUGUGAAUAGGCUUUGAUCCGGAGAUUUCCGAAUGGGAAAACCCACCUGAUUUAUCAGGUAUCAUAUGGUGAAUACAUAGCCAUAUGAAGCAAACUCAGUGAACUGAAAUAUCUCAUUAGCUGAAGGAAAGGACAUCAACAGAGACUCCGUUAGUAGUGACGAGCGAACGCGGACCAGGCAAGUGGCUUCUAAAAGUAAACUAGAACAGUAUGGAAAGACUGGCAAUAAUAGGUGAUAGCCCUGUAUAGGUAAUGCUUUUUUAAGUCCUAGAGUAAGGCGGGACACGUGAAAUCCUGUUUGAACAUGGGGGGACCACCCUCCAAGCCUAAGUACUCUCUAGCGACCGAUAGUGAACAAGUACCGUGAGGGAAAGGUGAAAAGAACCCCGAUGAGGGGAGUGAAAUAGACACUGAAACCGAAUGCUUACAAUCAGUCGGAGCGGAAAUUUAUUUCUGUGACGGCGUACCUUUUGUAUAAUGGGUCAGCGACUUAGUUUGUCGAGCGAGCUUAAGCCGUUAGGUGUAGGCGUAGCGAAAGCGAGUCUGAAUAGGGCGAACUUAGUUCGACGAAUUAGACCCGAAACCGGGUGAUCUAGCCAUGGCCAGAUUGAAGGUGGAGUAACAUCCACUGAAGGAUCGAACCCACUAAUGUUGAAAAAUUAGGGGAUGAGCUGUGGUUAGGGGUGAAAGGCCAAUCAAACUCGGAGAUAGCUGGUUCUCCGCGAAAUCUAUUUAGGUAGAGCGUUAUAUGAUUACCACUGGAGGUAGAGCACUGGAUAAGCUAGGGGGUCCAACAGACUUACCAAACUUAACCAAACUCCGAAUGCCAGUGAGUACAGUAUAGCAGACAGACCAUGGGUGCUAAGGUCCGUGGUCGAGAGGGAAAGAGCCCAGACCGCCAUCUAAGGUCCCAAAAUCAUGACUAAGUGUUAAAGGAUGUGGGAAAACCAAAACAACUAGGAUGUUGGCUUAGAAGCAGCCAUCAUUUAAAGAAAGCGUAAUAGCUCACUAGUCUAAUUAAGUUUUCCUGCGCCGACAAUGUAACGGGGCUAAAGUCAUGUACCGAAGAUGCGGAUUCAUAUGUAAACAUAUGAGUGGUAGCGGAGCGUUCCGUAAGCCUGUGAAGGCAAUCUGUAAGGAUUGCUGGAGGUAUCGGAAGUGAGAAUGCUGACAUAAGUAGCGAUAAAGAAUGUGAGAGACAUUCUCGCCGAAAGUCCAAGGUUUCCUGCGUAAAGCUAAUCUGCGCAGGGUUAGUCGGCCCCUAAGAUGAGGCUGAAAGGCGUAGUCGAUGGGAAUCAGGUUAAUAUUCCUGAACCGAGGAGAAGUGACGAAGUUCGAAAGUUGUACAUGCUUAUUGGAUUGUGUGUGCAGUGAGGAACUUCCAGGAAAUAACUCUCCAAUUAAGACCGUACCCCAAACCGACACAGGUGGACAGGUAGAGUAUACCAAGGCGCUUGAGAGAACGAUGCUGAAGGAACUAGGCAAAUUGCAUCUGUAACUUCGGGAGAAAGAUGACCUAUGAUUGGGCAACCAGUUGUAGGUGGCACAAACCAGGGGGUAGCGACUGUUUAUUAAAAACACAGGGCUCUGCUAAGUCAAUAGACGAUGUAUAGGGCCUGACGCCUGCCCAGUGCUGGAAACGGUCCUAAGGUAGCGAAAUUCCUUGUCGGGUAAGUUCCGACCUGCACGAAUGGCGUAACGACUUCCCCGCUGUCUCCAGUAUCGACUCAGCGAAAUUGAAUUCUCGGUUAAGAUGCCGAGUACCCGCGGUUAGACGGAAAGACCCCGUGCACCUUUACUAUAGCUUUGCACUGGUAUUAGGAAUUAAAUGUGCAGAAUAGGUAGUAGACUAUGAAGCAAGAGCGCAAGCACUUGUGGAGUCAAAAUGUGAGAUACUACCCUUUUAAUUCUUGAUAUCUAACCAUGAAUCCUUGAAUCAGGAUUUGGGACAAUGCAUGGUGGGUAGUUUGACUGGGGCGGUCGCCUCCUAAAUAGUAACGGAGGCGCGCGAUGGUUAGCUCAGGUUGGUCAGAAAUCAACUGUUAGAGUGCAAUGGCAUAAGCUAGCCUGACUGCGAGACUGACAAGUCGAGCAGAGACGAAAGUCGGUCAUAGUGAUCCGGUGGUCCCGCGUGGAAGGGCCAUCGCUCAACGGAUAAAAGGUACGCCGGGGAUAACAGGCUGAUGAUUUCCAAGAGUCCAUAUCGACGAAAUCGUUUGGCACCUCGAUGUCGGCUCAUCACAUCCUGGGGCUGGAGAAGGUCCCAAGGGUACGGCUGUUCGCCGUUUAAAGUGGUACGUGAGCUGGGUUUAGAACGUCGUGAGACAGUUCGGUCCCUAUCUGCCGUGGGUGUAGGAAGUUUGAGAGGAUCUGCCUUUAGUACGAGAGGACCGAGGUGGACGUACCUCUGGUGGACCAGUUGUCGCGCCAGCGGCAUAGCUGGGUAGCUAAGUACGGACGGGAUAACCGCUGAAUGCAUCUAAGCGGGAAACCCACCUUAAAACUAGACUUCCCUAUCAGAGCCGUGGAAGACCACCACGUUGAUAGGCCAGGUGUGGAAGCAUGGUAACAUGUGAAGCUAACUGGUACUAAUAGCUCGAUUGUUUUAUUU
RNAcentral lists this ribosomal RNA (2683 nucleotides) under microbial mat metagenome. Its description in RNAcentral is "bacterial LSU rRNA". It matches the Rfam family "Bacterial large subunit ribosomal RNA". The record is from RNAcentral.